GAAUCUACCUUCAGGACGGGGAUAACAGUGGGAAACUGCUGCUAAUACCCGAUAAGCCCGGGAGGGGAAAGAUUUAUCGCCUGAAGAUGAGCUCGCGUCCGAUUAGUUAGUUGGUGGGGUAAAGGCCUACCAAGACAGCGAUCGGUAGCUGGUCUGAGAGGACGACCAGCCACACUGGGACUGAGACACGGCCCAGACUCCUACGGGAGGCAGCAGUGGGGAAUCUUGCACAAUGGGCGAAAGCCUGAUGCAGCGACUCCGCGUGAAGGACGAAGCCCUGUGGGGUGUAAACUUCUUUUCUGGGAGAAGACGAAUGACGGUAUCUCAGGAAUAAGCCACGGCUAACUACGUGCCAGCAGCCGCGGUAAUACGUAGGUGGCGAGCGUUAUCCGGAUUUACUGGGCGUAAAGCGUCUGUAGCUGGUUUUGUAAGUCUGUUUUCAAAUUCCUUGACUUAAUCAAGGAUAGGGAACGGAUACUGCAUUUCUGGAGUCUUAUAGGGGUUAGCGGAAUUUCUGGUGGAGCGGUGAAAUGCGUUGAUAUCAGAAGGAACGCCAAAAGCGAAAGCAGCUAACUAUAUAUGUACUGACAGUGAGAGACGAAAGCUUGGGUAGCA
This 615-nucleotide ribosomal RNA is filed under the name uncultured cyanobacterium. Its description in RNAcentral is "bacterial SSU rRNA". It matches the Rfam family "Bacterial small subunit ribosomal RNA", at positions 122 to 770 of the family's 1533-position model. Lineage: Bacteria; Bacillati; Cyanobacteriota. The record is from RNAcentral.